GAUGAACGCUGGCGGCGUGCUUAACACAUGCAAGUCGAACGAUGAUCCGGUGCUUGCACCGGGGAUUAGUGGCGAACGGGUGAGUAACACGUGAGUAACCUGCCCUUAACUCUGGGAUAAGCCUGGGGAAACUGGGUCUAAUACCGGAUAUGACUCCUCAUCGCAUGGUGGGGGGUGGAAAGCUUUUUGUGGUUUUGGAUGGACUCGCGGCCUAUCAGCUUGUUGGUGAGGAAUGGCUCACCAAGGCGACGACGGGUAGCCGGCCUGAGAGGGUGACCGGCCACACUGGGACUGAGACACGGCCCAGACUCCUACGGGAGGCAGCAGUGGGGAAUAUUGCACAAUGGGCGCAAGCCUGAUGCAGCGACGCCGCGUGAGGGAUGACGG
RNAcentral lists this ribosomal RNA (387 nucleotides) under uncultured bacterium. Its description in RNAcentral is "bacterial SSU rRNA". It matches the Rfam family "Bacterial small subunit ribosomal RNA", at positions 28 to 414 of the family's 1533-position model. The record is from RNAcentral.